Molecule: long non-coding RNA, 598 nt
Organism: Pyrus x bretschneideri (Chinese white pear)
Lineage: Eukaryota; Viridiplantae; Streptophyta; Magnoliopsida; Rosales; Rosaceae
Exons: 2
Source: RefSeq, a predicted model, not a curated record
CCAACAUGGAAUCUGUUUCAAUUCGUAUAUGCUUCCAAUCUCUGACUACAAAUAAAAAGCUUCAAUUAUUAAUAAAUUUUUUUACGUUCUUCUUAGAAAAAAAACUUGCAAAAUCACUUAUGAGUAGAAGUGCUUAUUAGAUAAGCAUUUUUAGAGAGGUCCGUUGGUUAAAAAGAAAAAAAAUAAAUUAAAUGGGUUGGAUUGGAUCAUAUGUUCAGAUUGUGGAGCGGCCCAAUUCCACCCGCUAAAUUACAGUUUAACCCGACCCUUUCGUUUGCUCGUCCCCGUUUUCCCUGGACCUGAUACACGAACUCCUUCGGCCUUUCCCGACGGCAAAAUAAGCCGUGGAUCUGUCAGCAACUACAGAAAAGUUCAUGGGUUUGCUCCACGUCACCGACGCCUAGCCUUGCUCCUCCACUCUCGUCUACGGCUCCAGUAUGCUCCCUACCCUGAACACCUCCGGCAUGCUUCUCUCCGAACGCGUGUCUCGUAGCAUUGGGAUGGUGGGUUCCAAUAAGCUUAUAAGCUUAUGAUAAUGCUGGCUUAGUAUGCAGCAAAUGCAAUAUUGUAUGUUUAAUCUACUGUGUGAUCCUAGUUA